Molecule: ribosomal RNA, 618 nt
Filed under: uncultured bacterium
Lineage: Bacteria
Description: bacterial SSU rRNA
Rfam family: Bacterial small subunit ribosomal RNA
Source: RNAcentral
CCUACGGGAGGCAGCAGUGGGGAAUUUUGGACAAUGGGCGCAAGCCUGAUCCAGCAAUGCCGCGUGCAGGAUGAAGGCCUUCGGGUUGUAAACUGCUUUUGUACGGAACGAAACGGCUCUUUCUAAUAAAGAGAGCUAAUGACGGUACCGUAAGAAUAAGCACCGGCUAACUACGUGCCAGCAGCCGCGGUAAUACGUAGGGUGCGAGCGUUAAUCGGAAUUACUGGGCGUAAAGCGUGCGCAGGCGGUUAUAUAAGACAGAUGUGAAAUCCCCGGGCUCAACCUGGGACCUGCAUUUGUGACUGUAUAGCUAGAGUACGGUAGAGGGGGAUGGAAUUCCGCGUGUAGCAGUGAAAUGCGUAGAUAUGCGGAGGAACACCGAUGGCGAAGGCAAUCCCCUGGACCUGUACUGACGCUCAUGCACGAAAGCGUGGGGAGCAAACAGGAUUAGAUACCCUGGUAGUCCACGCCCUAAACGAUGUCAACUGGUUGUUGGGUCUUCACUGACUCAGUAACGAAGCUAACGCGUGAAGUUGACCGCCUGGGGAUACGGCCGCAAGGUUGAAACUUAAAGGAAUUGACCGGNUGAGACGNGCGAGACGACGACGAGGGAGGAGG